AAAGCAUGUACUAACGAAGCCGGCACUCCCGGUAUUGGAUAUGGUGUUAAAAUAAGGGUAAUAUUAGUAGAUAACCAAAUAAACAUACAAAUUAAGAAACUAGCAGAGAAAAAGUUUUUUUUUACAAAAUAACCAUGGACCCACUUUGUCGGAAGAAAUGAAAUAACAAAGUUACCCUUCAUUUGUUGUAAGAUAAACAGUAAACGAAACACAUCUGUGUAAUUUUUCAAAAUAGCAUGUAACAUUAAAAUUUCACAUGUUAUAUUUAGUUUAAAAACAUGCUAUUUCAAAAAACGUCAUGAAUUUUUAAGAAAAAACAUUAUUAUGAAUUUUUUUUACAUGAACA
This 346-nucleotide small RNA is filed under the name Arabidopsis thaliana (thale cress). RNAcentral's name for it is "ATSL178750". Lineage: Eukaryota; Viridiplantae; Streptophyta; Magnoliopsida; Brassicales; Brassicaceae. The record is from RNAcentral.